GGUGUGUUGGCUCAGUCAGUAGAGCGUCCGCCUCACAAUCGGGAGGUCGUAGGUUCGUACCCCGGCGUCAUACCA
Non-coding RNA from Strongylocentrotus purpuratus (purple sea urchin), 75 nucleotides. NCBI's taxonomy places the organism in Eukaryota, Metazoa, Echinodermata, Echinoidea, Camarodonta, Strongylocentrotidae. The record is from Rfam.